UGCCCAGUGGCUACCAGCCGGCGCCGCGUACUGGGGAGGGUGCAGGAGGCAGGCUCCUGCACCGCCCUGUGAUUGGGGCCCGCUGGGCCCCGCCUGCCGGCGUGUCCCCCGGGAGAUGUGUGCUGCCAGGGGCGCGCUGUCACCUGUGGUGCCGCGGGCUCUCCGCCGCGCCCUGGCGCCCAGGUUCAAAGUCAUCUUUACGCGCAGAGUUCAAGGAAACCUUUACUCGUGGAGCUUCAAGAAACUCUCACGCGCGGGUUCUAAGGCCACCUUUCCGCGCGCGAUUCCUUUCCCCCACCUCCCCUCAAGGUUUAAGUUACAGAGACCGAGCCAGGAUCAGCCGGUUAAGGUCGGCGGUUGUCUUGGCAGCUUUGGCAACAACGCACCGGUUCCUGUGCAGAUGGACUCAAUCUUUGCUUCUAAGUCUUAGAAUUGAACCUCAAUUCCUCAAAUGGACUGAGGGGAUUGAAGGGGCUGGGGAGGGUGGGAAACUAAAAUUCAUAGCCCCCAACUUCAGGUUUCUGGCAGGCAAGACGUGAGAUGAGAUGAGCAGUAUAUCUCCGGAGACGCUGAGAAGGAGAGAAAAUAAUUCCAAAGGAAGAACUUAACCUUGUUCUUCUCCAAGAUUUGGGGCAUAGGACCUUGCCUUCCGACGUCCAUAUCCUACAUCAAAGUGCUGAACGUCAUGGGUGUCUAGUUCAAGGACUUGGACUAGAUGGAUCUGUGAAUACGGUAUCUGUCUCCAAUGUUGGUGGGAUAAAGGAAAAUCAGGAGAAGAGGAGGAAAAGGUUUAGGAAACCAGAAGAUGCGAAUGGAAAAAAGGGAAAGUAGUUUUCUUAGGAGACUUUCAAAAUUUUCCUUGACCCUUGUUUCUUCUAGGAUUUUAAUUACUUCCAGGUGAGGAAUACUCUUUCCCUUUUCUAAAGAAGACUGAGUUGGAGGUCAACAACUGAAGAAGGGGAAGACUUGUGGAGUUUGGGCAAUGUUGCAUCUUCGAGCUCGAUUCUAUUUUUAUUUGUCAACAAAAAGAAAUACUAGACCUGUUGUCCUGUUGCAUUCAAGUGAGUAAAAAUAUAUUUUUUGAAAGAUUGAGAUUGUCUAGACCUAAGAAUAUUAAGGUGGUCCUUGACCUAUGAUACAUAGGUAUACUAUUAAUAUAUGAUUAUAAGAUGAAUAAUGAAGUCUUUCACUUGUGCAGCACUUAAUUAUGUGCUGAGCCUUUGCUUAUAACUUUACUUAUGUUAACUUUUUAAUUCUCAGAAUAACCUCUUAGGUACGUAACAUUACCCUCAUUUUACACACGAGAAAACAAGACACAGAGUGGUUGGUAGACUUGCCUUAGUUCACACAGCAGAUUAAGUGGCUGAGUCAUACAGUCUGGCUCCAAAAUCUGGGCAGCCUCCACAUUGCUAUCUUUAUUAAAGCUAUGGAAGAAGGGGGUCGCUAAGAGAACACUAACAUCUGGAGUUCUAAAAAUAAGACCACUCUCUUUAAGAUCAAUUAUUUGCUUAUUUAAUAUUUUUGUGUUUCUGGGGAUCAAACCCAGGGCCUCAUACAGGCUAGGCAAGUGCUCUACCACUGACAUACACCCCUAGCCCUAAGAUCACUAAUUCUAAAAGAGUGCAAACAGAGAAGGGAUUGAAUGUUAUUUCCCUGGUGACUUUGGAGGAGGAGGGCUUACAGAGCUGAUGACCCAGGGGGUGCUAUACAGAUUUGGGAAUUAGGCUUCCUGGGUUUGGAUCAGCUUGAGUGAGGCCCUCAGCUUUUUAAAGUUUCAGAUUCAUCUUUUGUAAAAGGGCAUCCACUUUGUAUGUGCCUUAAAAUCAAGGGUGAUAAUAAAUGUAAAGUGCUCAGCACGUGCUUGCCACAUUAUAGGAGUCCAUAAAGAUCAGCCCUGCUACAAGUCUGAACCUCCUGAAGGUUGCAAGCUCCCAUGGAAAGAGCUGCCCAUUGACCAGUGGGUCCCCCAGCGCUCCCUAUGAAACGAUGUGCUUAAAAUUGUUUCAAUAAAGAUGACUGGAUGGAUGGAUUGGAGAAGAUGGAUGGAAAAACUUGCGGGAAAGAAAAGUCAGAAGAACAAAGAGGAAUGGAGCAGAUGAUGAAAUCGUGAUAAUCAAGCGGACUAUGAGCUGCCUCUCAUUGCCUCGCUCCUUGUUAACCUCACUCUACAAAGAAGGAAACAAGGCUCGGAGAGGCUAACUGGUAACUCACUCGAAUUCAUCUAUAGCUAUGAACACAAAAUUUCCAUGUGGACUCAGUCAAGUGACUUUAGAGUUCACGUUCCUUAUCUCUGCUUUUGCCGCUUCAUAGCCUGGCGUGAAGAAUGGGGUAAGGAAAGAGGCGUAUUCUUAGAUGAUUGAUUGAGGAUGUCGUGUUAUCUAUGAUUUGUUCUAAAAUUAUUCACUUUAGGCAGAGAAAUGUGUGUGCGUGUGUGUGUGUGUGUGUGUGUGUUUAGAGGUAGUUAGUAAUUAUUUGAAUACCAUAACCAAUAAUUCAUAUCAUCACCAUGGUAAAUUAACAUUACAAACUUCCAAACUUUGGGGCCACCAUAUCAAGCACCACCUUCUAAAUCUAUGCCUGGAGAGUUCUCCUUAGCACAUGAGACAGAAAUACUUAUUCACUGUGAAGCCAGUUUUAUUCAAACUAAGUGGAUUGCUAGACACACAGCACUGUAGCUCCAGCCCUGCCCCGAAGAAGAACAAGAGUGAGGAAGUCAGUGUCCCAGGGGGUCCUGGACCUAGAACACUGCUGUGUGCUAUGUCCACGUGACUAAUCCAAGAAGACUGCUUUCUGAUCUAAGAAAAAGAAGUGGUGAUGGAGGAAGAGAGCAACAAAUCGCAAGAGAAUGGCUUGAAACAGUUUCAAGAAUGGAGAAUAAGUGGGAAAAUCUUUCCCCACAUGAUUUAGGCAACCCUGACCCUGAACCUAGUACUUCCGCUGCUUGACAAUGUGUUCUUGGACACCUGAGUGCAUCUCUCCUGGCUUCCAAUACAGUCUGUUCCAUGAGCAGGGCCCCUUGAUGUUCAUCUUUCAAAAAGAGAAACUGAUAUGACCAUGCCUACCUAUCCCAAGGAAAUCCUGCAGGAAGCCUGCUUUCCCAUCCCCCAGGAGCAUGAAUUGAGAAUUAAACACCAACAGAACUUGGAUUUCAGUUAGUCUUUAAUAUAAUUCCAUGUCUUUAACAGUAAACAAAGAUGUUAAGUACAAAAACUCAAUACAUGUUAUCAUUCAGUAGUUCUGAACACUCACAGUGGUCACAAUGUGGGAACUGAGGUCACUUACAUUUUAAGGAAAUAGCACUCACCCUGUUUCUGUGGACUCACUUUCUGCAGUUGGAAGGCAAAGGUGAGGCUUAUUGUGCAAAGUGUCUUCAAUUUAUGGGAAAGCAGCUUUCUUCUUUCUUGCUGGCAUUUAAAAGAACUAUUCAUUUUCCUUUUAUGUUAAAAGUGCUAUAAGAACUGAAGGGGCCUCUCCUUACUGAAAUAAAAUUAACUAUAUAUGUCACACAUUUAUGAGUCAACAUUGCUGGUUAAAUACCCUCUGAAUUAGCAAUUCAUAGAAAAUUAAUAGGAGAAAUUGUCACACUCGCACACCAAAUAUACGAUUUAGAUUUCACAGUACAAGGCUCUGUGGUACAAAGUGCCUAUAAGCAGCUUUCCAUCAUGCACUGCAGCCACAG
Molecule: long non-coding RNA, 3679 nt
Organism: Sciurus carolinensis (gray squirrel)
Lineage: Eukaryota; Metazoa; Chordata; Mammalia; Rodentia; Sciuridae
Exons: 4
Source: RefSeq, a predicted model, not a curated record